CUACGGGUCGCUGCAGUGGGGAAUCUUAGACAAUGGGGGAAACCCUGAUCUAGCCAUGCCGCGUGAGCGAUGAAGGCCUUAGGGUUGUAAAGCUCUUUCAGCUGGGAAGAUAAUGACGGUACCAGCAGAAGAAGCCCCGGCUAACUCCGUGCCAGCAGCCGCGGUAAUACGGAGGGGGCUAGCGUUGUUCGGAAUUACUGGGCGUAAAGCGCGCGUAGGCGGACUAUUAAGUCGGGGGUGAAAUCCCGGGGCUCAACCCCGGAACUGCCUUCGAUACUGGUAGUCUUGAGUUCGAGAGAGGUGAGUGGAAUUCCGAGUGUAGAGGUGAAAUUCGUAGAUAUUCGGAGGAACACCAGUGGCGAAGGCGGCUCACUGGCUCGAUACUGACGCUGAGGUGCGAAAGCGUGGGGAGCAAACAGGAUUAGAUACCCCAGUAGUC
RNAcentral lists this ribosomal RNA (439 nucleotides) under uncultured bacterium. RNAcentral describes it as "partial 16S ribosomal RNA". It matches the Rfam family "Bacterial small subunit ribosomal RNA", at positions 339 to 795 of the family's 1533-position model. The record is from RNAcentral.